CCUACGGGUGGCAGCAGUGAGGAAUAUUGGUCAAUGGCCGAGAGGCUGAACCAGCCAAGUCGCGUGAGGGAAGACGGCCCUACGGGUUGUAAACCUCUUUUGUCGGGGAGCAAAGAGAGUCACGUGUGACUCAUUGAUAGUACCCGAAGAAAAAGCAUCGGCUAACUCCGUGCCAGCAGCCGCGGUAAUACGGGGGAUGCGCGCGUUAUCCGGAUUUAGUGGGUUAAAGGGGUGCGCAGGCGGAGUGGCAAGUCAGCGGUCAAAUUGCGGGGCUCAACCCCGUACUGCGGUUGAAACUGCAUGCCUUGAGUGCGCGAGAAGUAUGCGGAAGGCGUGGUGUAGCGGUGAAAUGCAUAGAUAUCACGCAGAACUCCGAUGGCGAAGGCAGCAUACCGGCGCGCAACUGACGCUCAUGCACGAAAGCGUGGGUAUCGAACAGGAUUAGAUACCCGAGUAGUC
This 459-nucleotide ribosomal RNA is filed under the name uncultured bacterium. RNAcentral describes it as "partial 16S ribosomal RNA". It matches the Rfam family "Bacterial small subunit ribosomal RNA", at positions 338 to 795 of the family's 1533-position model. The record is from RNAcentral.